Falco peregrinus (peregrine falcon) is the source of this 5691-nucleotide long non-coding RNA. RefSeq lists it as uncharacterized. The transcript is spliced from 16 exons. The record is from RefSeq and is a predicted model, not a curated record. Lineage: Eukaryota; Metazoa; Chordata; Aves; Falconiformes; Falconidae.
UCUCAGCUCAGAAAGAUAUGGCUUUGAGGGUGCUUAACAGCAGCCCUCAGGUACCCACGGAGUGAUUGUCAAGAAGGUAGAGUCACGAUCUUCACUGUGGGAGGUUGAGAGACAAUAUGCAUGAUGUCUACUACCUCGAAUUUGUUGAUUUUUUUUCUGAGGCUGUCAGAAAAAAAUCCUGUCUUUCAUAAAAAAAAAUUCUCAUCACACUUCUUCCAAUAUUUUUACAUUUUGCUGAUGUUUUUGUCAUAGAAAUUUUGAAAUAUUUAGUCAAGGUUUAACUAUCAACAUCCUUUCCAUUUAUAGGAGGGGAAAAAAACUUAUGAACAAGCUACUCUAUACCCUGGUUUUACCUGCUUUGCUGGUGCAGAUCUGAGUCUUGAGCAUUUUUCUUGCCUGUGAUUGCAGCUUUUAAGCUGCUCCCUGACCCUUGAUGUACUCACACCUCAGAGAUGGAAAGGCUCGUGAAAAAAUUCAUGAAAAGAAUAGAAGUCCUGGUUUACGUAAGCUGAAAAAGGUGCACCUCCGCAGAGAACUGCAAGGAAGGCUUAUUUCAUGCUGUGCAGCUAAACUAACAAGGGAAAGUGUUCCUCCUGGUAAUGAGCACAAACACCAACACAUGCUGUGUGACUACUGAAUGACUUGAAAAAUCCUUUUGCUUCAAAUGCAAUGCAGGGCCUUGGCUGAAGUCACUGGGAUGGCACGGAUGUAUGAGUGAAGAGCCUGCACAUGACAUCCCUUGCCCCAUACAUGGCAAAUCUGAAAUAGAAACAUUACCCAUGGCCAGACUCACUACCUUUUUGUCAUGUCAGAAUUCUCUGGCAUACAACUGUAUCUAUUCCUGCUAGAGGAUGAGUUGUUUUCUGCAUUGAAACUUUUUGAUUUCAUAUCAGGUGAGACUAGGAAGGAGUGUGCCUGUGAGCUACUCCGGCCAAAGCUGUUAUGGAGAAAUGGGAAAGCUGCAGGAUCCACAACUUACACAUAGUCUUUGCAACUCUCUUAAUCACUUGGCAUAGCAGUGAGAGAGACCUGUUUCCAUGGUGUGUGAUGUGUAUCUCCAUGAACAGGAAAGAAAGAGAUGAUACUCUUUUCACGGAUCAGUAGGUCAACUUCCUAAUAUGCUAGUUUGGGAUCCCCAAGAGGCACCCAAAUGGAAUUUUUUAUUUCACCUGUGUUUCUUUCAUAGAAAAGGUAUCUUAUACUCUUUACAGACAACAUUAUGUGGUAAUAUUUAGAUUUGUAAGAAGUUAACUUCAACUUUUGAAAGAGCAGAUAGAACAAAGCCAGGAGACAUUGGAAAAUGGUGUUAUUCAGGUGAACAGAGUGCAGCAUUAUGCCAGAAAUGGGGAGGAGUAAGAAAAUAAUUCACAAAUUACAUGAGUCUCCUCUUUGUGUUGAUAGACUGAAUGAAUGGGGGUUGCAUCUCACUUGAUUAACUUAUACUGAUGUGAAUGAAAACCAAGUCUCUAAAUCUACUUUAAACUGUAGUGUUUCUGGCAUGUGUGAAACUGCACAACAUUUUAAUUAAGCUAUCCACAGAAUGUCAAUAAAAAAGUGUCUUUGAACAGGUAAUAGCUAUCCAAAAUAAAAAAAGAACAUUUCUGGGGACACUACAAAGAACAUUAGCACAGAAAGAGAAAAAUUUAAGUCAAUUGUAAGUCUGAACUUUCAGUAGAUAUAAACUGGAAUAUGUCCCUGUGAAUUCUGAAACAGGUGAGUGAGAUUGGCUGGCAUAUUUAGGUUGUUUACAGUGGCUCAUGAUGGUCUAUUAAUAUCAACAGAUGAUGUGACAUUGGCUUCCCUGGGGCCAGGAUUUCAGCUCUGAUAUAUUUGUUGGGAGUUGGAGAACAUAAAUUAGAAAUAAGGCAAGCUAGAAUACAUCUCCAUUUAGAAGGAUAAGUUAUUUUUUAUAUAGAUUUUUCAGUCUGGCAACUACGUACUAUCAAGUCUGAAAUGGGUGUCCCAUAUCAACCUGUACUUUGGGAAGACAUUCUAUGAAAUCCACUGUAUCAGAAGAGGCAAAAAUCAAAAAUUCUCCUGAGGUCUGUAUAGGCGCCUAUUUUUAUUGUGGAAUCUGAGGACUGAUGCUAAUGCAUGUGUGCUGUGGAUUUAUCCAUUCAGUAGUAUAAAAAAACCCCUACACGUUGUGUUUACUAGCAUCUCAUUGGAAAAAUACUGGCUGUUCCUCCCAAGCAGCUAUGUGUCCUCUUUAGGUUUGGGUUCAGUGAGAACAGCAACCAAAUCUGUUACUACACUGUUUCUUUAAUAGAUCUUAAAAUGCUUUAAAAAAAGAGAUUGAUAAUAUUUUUUCAGGUGGGAAAGCUGAGACAGAGUCCAGUGAAAUGAUUUCUAAAUGACAUUCAGAUGGCAAACAAGAGAGCUGGAAAUUUAGGCUUGGUGGUGUACACCAUGGAUCUGACAAUUAUCCCCAGGUAGAAGUUACCUUUCUAUGUUAGAAAGACAAUUAACUGUAUCUUUAAUGUUAGAAAUUAUCUUUCUGACAAAACAUUUGUUUCUGUCAGUUUGGUUUUUGGCUUUGAGGGUUUUGUAUGUUUGGUUUUUUUGGUCAGUGUCUUCUAGUACCUUGUAAAUGUUGACAGAUUCUUAACUUUGCAGGUUCUAUGAGAAUAUGAAUUUCUCUAUUUCUUAUUUUGCAGAGAGCAACAGAUCUUGAAAAGCACCUAGGUGCUUAAUUCCCAGAAAAUUGACUAAAAGAUUUAACUAAGCUUCCACAGUAAGGCUGUGUCUAAGCCAGCCAUUGAAUCUGGCUCUCCCGAGCCCAGUACAGUGCCCUGGGGCCAAACAGAGAUGCAACAUGGUGUGACAUGUUAUAUCUUCACUAUACAACAUUGUGAAAGGGAGGAUCAGAAUAAUUUCUUAGUUCAUGCUUGACUAGAAUUCAUGCAGCUGGCAUUUCUUAUUGGUAAUUCAAAGCAACCUACACUCACAAUUAAAAAGCUUUUUUGUGAAUUGUAAGCAAAGACUUUUCAGCCUGCACUUUGGGGUUCCUUGGUCUGAACUGUCCUUUCUGUCCUUUGAGGCCUUUGUAACUGCAGAGCAUAAGAAUAAUCGAGUAAUUUUGGCCUUUACACAACUUAUAGUAAGGUGUUAUUUAAAGAUUAGUAUAAUAUAAUUGUUUGCUUUUUACUGAAUAAUCAAGUAAACAUCUCUUUCUUAAUCCCUUGAGGCUUCAGAGGUCAGGCUUCUGCUUUUUGGCCUCAGGUUCUAUGGCUAAGAGGACACAAUUCACAUGUAGUCCUUUAAGGAAAAACAGAUUUUCCUGUGGUUCUUUUUGUUUUCUUUUUUUUGUGAGCUUGUUUUUUUUUUUUUCCCCUAAGUCUCAGGGACUGAUUCAUCUCUAUCAUAAUUUUUUACAGUGCUUUCAGUCCAAACCUUUUGCAAAGUUAACCCCUCUUACUUUACUGUGGGAGCUGAAUUGGCUUCAAACUUCAUAAACGAUCUGAAAAUAAAUACAAAAUCUCAUUUUGUUCUUUUAAUGCUUCUGAAGAAUUCCUUAAGUAAGCUUAAGGCAUUACUUUUUUAAACAGGCCUCCUCCACAUAGUGUUUCUGAGGCAGCUCACAGUGUGUUGUACAAUGGUAGCUGUUACCUCAAAUCAAAUGCUGUCUUACAUUUACCACUUGAUAGAGUUUUCCAUAACAAAGACAGCAGACUAAAGCCUGUUACAGUAAGCCAUACUUUAUUUCAAAUCAAAUGCUAAUCCAUCUGAAGACAUAAAUACAGCCACUGAAACCCCAAACUUCAAAUUUCAGUCACUAUUUUUUCACGUAAGGCACACAUUUCAUUUGAAGUGAACUAUCAUGAAACUAUCAUAAUGCAAUUAGCAGCUGUCAUGUGGGAAACCUAUGAGGUCAGACAAACAAGGCAACCAGAUGGUGCUCACAGUUCUGCAUAUUCAAUCAACAUUUUUUCAUACUGUAUCAUAAACUUUCUUCUCUGGUGCAAAGGGCCCCACGACUUAAUCUUGACAAGUUUAUGUGUUAGUUUGCAUUGUCAGGAGCUAAUGUUGUAUCUCAUAUGCACUAUUAUUAAACAAAUUCAAAAUAUGAAAUACCUACUCAAAUAUAAAGUGCAAGAAAUAAAAUCACAAGGUUGGAUUUCUCUCUGGCUAUGUGAAACAAAGGCAAGGAUUGAAUUGUGGGUUUUCACAAUGGAGGGAUUUUACCAGUGAAAUGCCACAAGGAUCUGAGAUGGGAUCUGUAUCAUGCAAUAAUCUUGGUAGCAUAAAUUACAUAAUUUCAGGUAAGGUUACAUAAUUUCUGGAUAACAGCACAUUGCCUAGGGUACAAACAGUUGCAAAACAGUCUCAAAAAGCUCAAUAGAGUGAAUGAGAAAUUUCAGUUUGUCCUGGUUUUGGCUAGGAUAGUUCUGAGUUUUUUUCAGUAGCUUGUGCAGUGCUGUGUUUUGGAUUUAGUAUGAGAAUAAUGUUGAUAGCACACUGAUGUUUUUAGCUGUUGCUGGGUAAUGUUGAUACUAAGUCAAGGACUCCAGUUUCUCAGGCCCUGCCAGCAAGAGGGCUGAAGGGGCACAAGAAAUUGGGAGGGGGCACAGCCAGGACAGCUGACCUGAACUAGCCAAAGGGGUAUUCCAUACCACGGAACAUCAUGCUGAGUAUAUAAACUGAGCGGAGUUGGCCAGGGCCUGCUGACCACUUCUUGGGGACUGUCUGGGCAUCAGUCAGUGGAUGCUGUCAUCUUUCUGGAGAAUCCUGGAAUGACUGAGAUGCCAGGCCAAGAACAGGAGGGAAUACUCUGCCAGCUGCCUCUCUGGCACCUCAAAGGGAUUUUCUGCUUUGAUUGUUGCAGCGUCAGAGAGCAAGAGAGUGUUCUAGCUUGGAAGUUUGGUCUGUACCAUUUCCAUGAGUUCCUGGAUUCUGAAGAAACUGCUGAUCAAUAUGCAAGGCUGAUGGCUGCAGGAGCUGCAGAUGUUGCUUUUGCAUCCUGAAAUUUUUGCUUGGUGGGAAAAGUGAAUACAGUGAACUUGGCAGAACUGAGCUGUUGCUCCAAAGGGCAAGGUCAGCGUUGCAGUCAUGGACCUGUUCUGGAGUAGCUGCUGUAAAAUAUUCAGCAGCUGAGAGACUUGGAUAAUCCACAGGUAAUUUAUCACAAUGGAGUUGUCAACUAAAACCUAGCAUUAUUUUGGCUGUGGAUGAUGCUUAAUGCAUGGAGGAGGAGGGAAAAGGAAGGAGCAUCUGUGAGCAGGCUGCAUACCUCUAAUCUUUCAGUUGUUCCUGGCCCAGCAGUUUAAAAGGUAUAGGGACACUGUGCAAAUAACCCGCCAGCUUUGAGACACAGCAUUUCUGUAUGCAGCUGGAGCAAGAUGCUUUCAAGAAGGCCUUUAGGGACCAAAAGAGGAGUUCAGAGAAGAUAAGGCUAUAGCAAGAAAAUCAGGGUGGCUUAUCCGGUGACUGUCGUAGGUGAGGACAACUGGAACAUAUUCCAUCCUUCACAAGUUUCCUCCAGAGGAUCAUCUUGGAAUUUCUGCUAAAGGAGAGGUAAGAAGGAAAGGAGGGGAAAGAAGGAAAAGAGGGAGUCAAGAACAAGCCGACUCUGUCCAUGGGAGAAGUUUGAGUUCAUCUUUUUUCACCCAAGAAAACUAGUCGAAUUCAUGUGACACACCCUAAAUGCAAUGCUUUGUGCAGCAAGAAUAAAAACAUCCUACAAACUAAGAA